UGUCAUUUCUUGAUAUGUCCA
RNAcentral lists this non-coding RNA (21 nucleotides) under Arabidopsis thaliana (thale cress). Lineage: Eukaryota; Viridiplantae; Streptophyta; Magnoliopsida; Brassicales; Brassicaceae. The record is from RNAcentral.